CACUACGAAGCUAAUUUAGCAUUAACCUUUUAAGUUAAAGAUUGGAAGCUCAUUUUCCCGUGGUGA
RNAcentral lists this transfer RNA (66 nucleotides) under Anomalurus beecrofti (Beecroft's scaly-tailed squirrel). RNAcentral describes it as "tRNA-Lys". It matches the Rfam family "tRNA". Rfam says of the family: Transfer RNA (tRNA) molecules are approximately 80 nucleotides in length. Their secondary structure includes four short double-helical elements and three loops (D, anti-codon, and T loops). The record is from RNAcentral. Lineage: Eukaryota; Metazoa; Chordata; Mammalia; Rodentia; Anomaluridae.